CCCAGACUCCUACGGGAGGCAGCAGUGGGGAAUAUUGCACAAUGGGGGAAACCCUGAUGCAGCGACGCCGCGUGAGUGAAGAAGUAAUUCGUUAUGUAAAGCUCUAUCAGCAGGGAAGAAGAUGACGGUACCUGACCAAGAAGCCCCGGCUAACUACGUGCCAGCAGCCGCGGUAAUACGUAGGGGGCAAGCGUUAUCCGGAUUUACUGGGUGUAAAGGGAGCGUAGACGGCGAUGCAAGUCUGAAGUGAAAGGCGGGGGCCCAACCCCCGGACUGCUCUGGAAACUGUAUGACUUGAGUGCAGGAGAGGUAAGCGGAAUUCCUAGCGUAGCGGUGAAAUGCGUAGAUAUUAGGAGGAACACCAGUGGCGAAGGCGGCUUACUGGACUGUAACUGACGUUGAGGCUCGAAAGCGUGGGGAGCAAACAGGAUUAGAUACCCCAGUAAUG
Molecule: ribosomal RNA, 448 nt
Filed under: uncultured bacterium
Lineage: Bacteria
Description: bacterial SSU rRNA
Rfam family: Bacterial small subunit ribosomal RNA
Source: RNAcentral